GACCUCGGAUCAGGUAGGGAUACCCGCUGAACUUAAGCAUAUCAAUAAGCGGAGGAAAAGAAACCAACAGGGAUUGCCCUAGUAACGGCGAGUGAAGCGGCAACAGCUCAAAUUUGAAAUCUGGCUCUCUUUGGGGGUCCGAGUUGUAAUUUGCAGAGGAUGCUUUGGCAUUGGCGGCGGUCUAAGUUCCUUGGAACAGGACAUCGCAGAGGGUGAGAAUCCCGUACGUGGGCGCCUGCCUUUGCCGUGUAAAGCUCCUUCGACGAGUCGAGUUGUUUGGGAAUGCAGCUCUAAAUGGGAGGUAAAUUUCUUCUAAAGCUAAAUACCGGCCAGAGACCGAUAGCGCACAAGUAGAGUGAUCGAAAGAUGAAAAGUACUUUGGAAAGAGAGUCAAAAAGCACGUGAAAUUGUUGAAAGGGAAGCGCUUGCAGCCAGACUUGCCCGCAGUUGCUCACCUAGGCUUUGGCCUGGGGCACUCUUCUGCGGGCAGGCCAGCAUCAGUUUGGGCGGUCGGACAAAGGCCUCUGUCAAGUAUCUCCCUUCGGGGUGACCUUAUAGGGGAGGCGUAAUGCGACCAGCCCGGACUGAGGUCCGCGCAUCUGCUAGGAUGCUGGCGUAAUGGCUGUAAGCGGCCCGUCU
RNAcentral lists this ribosomal RNA (639 nucleotides) under Microsphaeropsis arundinis. Its description in RNAcentral is "eukaryotic LSU rRNA". It matches the Rfam family "Eukaryotic large subunit ribosomal RNA", at positions 1 to 654 of the family's 3401-position model. Lineage: Eukaryota; Fungi; Ascomycota; Dothideomycetes; Pleosporales; Didymellaceae. The record is from RNAcentral.